GGAGACCCAAGUUGACAAACGUCGGCGUAAAAUGUGGUUUAUACAGUAUUGCACUAAAGCUAAACUUCUUCAAGGCUGUUAUACGCAUUCGAAAGAAAGAGAAUCUUCAACGAAAGUGGCUUUAAACAUUAUGAACCCACGAAAGCUAGGAAACAAACUGGGAUUAGAUACCCCACUAUGCCUAGCCCUAAACUAAAGCAACCCCCUACUCAUGUUGCUUGCCAGGGAAUUACGAGCUUUAGCUUAAAACCCAAAGGACUUGGCGGUGCUUUAGACCCACCUAGAGGAGCCUGUUCUAUAACCGAUAGUCCCCGUUAAACCUCACCCUCUCUUGCCAUUCCCGCCUAUAUACCGCCGUCGUCAGCUUACCCUGUGAAGGGCUAAUAGUAAGCAAAAUUGGCACAGCCCAAAACGCCAGGUCGAGGUGUAGCGUAUGAGAGGGGAAGAAAUGGGCUACAUUCACUGCACCAGUGAAAACGAAUAAUGCUUUGAAAUAAGCACUUAAAGGAGGAUUUAGUAGUAAGAAGGGAAUAGAGUGCCCCUCUGAAACAGGCCCUGAAGCGCGCACACACCGCCCGUCACUCUCCCCAACAUAGCGGACAAGUCUUAAAUAAACAAUAAUCCAGGAUAAGGGGAGGAAAGUCGUAACAUGGUAAGUGUACCGGAAGGUGCACUUGGAAAAACC
RNAcentral lists this ribosomal RNA (685 nucleotides) under Tridentiger trigonocephalus. RNAcentral describes it as "partial 12S rRNA". It matches the Rfam family "Bacterial small subunit ribosomal RNA", at positions 534 to 1528 of the family's 1533-position model. The record is from RNAcentral. Lineage: Eukaryota; Metazoa; Chordata; Actinopteri; Gobiiformes; Gobiidae.